AAAAAUGUCACUGUGCGUUCUGACGGUUCAUUGUCUCACCUGAGCUCUGACCUGACUUCUAGAUGUGGAUGAAGAUUAGCAGUAACUCCACCGCACAGAACAGCUUCUGUUAAGCCUCAUUCAUUCACAUUGAUCCAGCUGAGAUGACAGACCAUACAGAUGAAGGCCUGAAUGUGUUUGCACAGCUACAAGUGAAAAGCCGUACCUGUCUCAGUGUCUUUCUGUCUGACUGAAUCGGGGAUGGACUCUCUAACAACCUCUUUACAGCGCUGUGUCCUUGUGUCCAGGGGGCGGGCUGUCUGUCUUUCUGUCAGGCAAUAACAAGUGUAACCAGUACAUCCACCUAACAGGAUCCAGGAUACACUGCCUCAUUUGCAUUUUACAUCUUCAAAAAACAGUCACCACCCUUUUUUCCCUCAGUCUAAGCCAGUGCAUAAUCAGUUUCUGCUAAAAUACAAUUUGAAUGUUUGUUUAACAGUGUGUGCAGCAUUUUAAAGUGGCACACAGAUGCCAGUGGUCAUAAUGUGCUAAACGUAAAUGAAAGUUUUUAAUUUCAGCACAGACGCUCUUUGUGCUGGUGUACUGGAUUUCUGUCACCAGCAGCAGAGCCUGAGGGCAGCUGUCAUCAGGUGUUCUACAGGGCAGACUGAGAGACUGUUGCACCUCAGGAGACAAAUAUCCAUUUUAAUGAAAAUGACAACAGCCUCACAAGUGAUUCAGGCGUUGAUGAGAUCUUAUCUUUAGGAAGCUGUUGUCACCAAAACCGUUUUCUUUCACUUCAAACUACUUUUUUUGCAUCUGUGAUGUUGUGAGCCAAUGUAAAAAAUUUGAAUGUAGUUUAAAAAUGCAAAUAAA
Long non-coding RNA from Monopterus albus (swamp eel), 855 nucleotides. RefSeq lists it as uncharacterized. The record is from RefSeq and is a predicted model, not a curated record. The transcript is spliced from 4 exons. Lineage: Eukaryota; Metazoa; Chordata; Actinopteri; Synbranchiformes; Synbranchidae.